GAGCUGGCCAGCUGGGCCUGGGGAAGAGAGUUUUGCUCAGUGUCUCACUGAUGAACAGGUACUGACUGAAGUUGGUCUGAAGAUGUAAGUGGGACUCGUACUUGGAUCCUAGGGUCUCUAAGAGGGACAAAGGCUGCUUUGGCCAAUGCAGACACCUGUCCAAUGGGCAAUCCCUACACCUGAACUCCAAGUUUCUCUUCACAUUGUAACUUGCUGCCACAGGCUUCAGAGACAACAGGAAACCUAGCAUUCUCUUAGCCAACCUGACCACAAAGCUGUCAGA
This is a long non-coding RNA of Mus caroli (Ryukyu mouse), 283 nucleotides long. RefSeq lists it as uncharacterized. Lineage: Eukaryota; Metazoa; Chordata; Mammalia; Rodentia; Muridae. The record is from RefSeq and is a predicted model, not a curated record.